CUCAUGAAUAUAAGGAAUGUCAAUGCAGUCGACAGGGGAUGUGAUUACUGACAGCGAGCUAAUAACGUGUUCACGGACAUUACUGACACCACAAAGAGUUCAUAAAGAUGUCCAAGCGAUGGUCAGAUGAUGGGGUAACUUGGACAUAGGUAGCCCGGAAUCCGGCCAGGGCGGGGGUCACCAUGACAACAGAGGACCUUCUACAGCCCAACCAGGUGGUCAAGGACAGAUGGAAAGUGGUGAGAAAGAUCGGUGGCGGAGGCUUUGGUGAAAUCUACGACGGCAUUGACCAAGUAACCAAAGAGAAUGUUGCCCUCAAAUUGGAAUCCGCAAAACAGGCCAAGCAAGUGCUCAAGAUGGAAGUGGCUGUCCUUAAGAAGUUACAGGGACAUGACCAUGUGUGCCGGUUUAUCGGAUGUGGCCGAAAUGAGCGGUACAACUAUGUGGUGAUGACCCUGCAGGGGAAAAACCUGGCAGAGUUGCGACGAAGUCAACCACGAGGCUGCUUCACGCUCAGUACAACACUCCGCCUAGGCGCCCAAAUACUCAAGGCCAUUGAAGCAAUUCACGAGGUCGGCUUCCUCCACAGGGACAUCAAACCUUCUAACUUUGCUAUGGGGAGACUACAGAAGGACAGUAAAAAGGUGUUCAUGCUGGAUUUCGGCCUGGCACGUCAGUACACCACCCCAGCUGGAGAUGUACGCCCACCAAGGGCGGCGGCUGGCUUCAGGGGCACAGUGCGUUACGCUUCAGUCAACGCCCACAAAAACAAGGAAAUGGGUCGCCAUGACGACCUGUGGUCCCUGUUCUACAUGCUGGUAGAGUUUCUGGCGGGCCAGUUGCCGUGGCGUAAGAUCAAGGACAAGGAGCAGGUGGGCAACAUGAAGGAAAAGUACGACCACACACUGCUGCUGAAAAACAUGCCGAAUGAGUUCCGUCUGUUCCUCGAUCACAUUCUCAGCCUGGACUACUUUGACAAGCCCGACUACUGCCUGUUACACAACUUGUUUCAGCAGUGUAUAAAGCGUAAGGGCAUCAAGGAACCAGAUCCGUAUGACUGGGAAAAAAUCUACGCUGACGGGUCUGUUGCCACGACAACCACAACUUCGCCUCCGAUAGGGAUCAAGGCCACACCAGGAGCGGGAGUGUUACCGGGUGGGCCUCAUACUGCAGGGCAUGGAGCCACAGAGGCUAUGGACGUCAACCUCAGUUACAACCAAGAGGAGGGUGACCAGGAGGAACGCAAGCUCAAGGAAGCACAGUACAUACUUGAAAACAAGAACCUACAUGACAUAGACAAUCGGCUGCGGGAGGAAGUGGGUGACAUUGUGUUGGUGCCUCGUAAACAAAAUGUGAACCAUAUGGAGACAGAGGAGAAACACCAGAUGGAACAACUGGUUCAGGAGGAUAAUGUGGCUCCACAAGUGUAUUCCAUUGUCCCGGACGAGAGAGGAAACACAGGUGAUGCCCCACCACAGGAUCAACAAGAUGCACCCAAAACAUCUGGCCUCGAUGUGCUGGCAGACCAGUUGACUCGCAUCCUCAAACAGGACGGGGACAAAAUGGAGGGUCGGCCGGUGCCACGAGAGCAGACUCAUGACCAAGUUGGCUCAGCCAUGAGAUUUUCCGAGGAAAUCCUGCCAGACAUGCGUGAACGAGACCAGCAUUCUGGUGGGGAGCGACGCCAAAGUAAAGGACGAUACCAUGAAAAUCAGUUGUUUAAGGAGAUAAUAGACCGCAAAGUACACUCCGCUGUAGCGUCCAACAGAAAGAAUAGUCUUGUCUGUGAUGAGGACAUCUCAAAUAAUCCUGACUACCAGCCAGACCCCCUCGUCAGCAGGGCUGCUAUCACAUUCGCUCUCAUGCAGACGGAGGAGAAAACACACACAGCAGCCGACGAGAACAUUGAUGAGAACGCCACUAGAGCAGCUCCAUUUACGGUAGCCAGUCAAUGGGGCGCCGUGUCCGCCUUCGGGUCAGACUCCAACAAUAGUGAUGCUGAUGACGAGAGUGAAGGUGAGGAAGGCAAUGACAUGAAAUUGAAAACCUCACAUAGAACGCGGCGAGGGUUAAUGAACACGCUAGCUGACGAAGACGAUCUUCGACUGGACAGUAUUGUUAGGAAUUCGCUUGUGUUACAUGACGCAGACCGUGAAUCGCAUGAAAUUCUUCGUAAUUCACUCGUGUUUCUCGACGAUGAUGCAGAUCGUGAUCAAAACAAAGAGAAAAGUGACUCAGGAUUUCAUUUUAGAAAUUUAUCAGAUCGAAAACAUUCCAGUAAUAGUUUACAAUUCCUUAAUGUACAAGGAUCUGAGCGGACACCCGAGAGCCCUUUAGAAAAAUCCCAGUCUGUAGAUAGUAUCCAUAGUAAGUUAUCUAGUCCUAGUAGAAUGCCUGAAAAACUGGCCAAAGAGAUAGGCAAUCUUAUAUCGUCUCCACUAAGUAGCCCUUCAAAACAUUUAUUUAAAGGAAAAGACAGUUUGACUGAUAUUAAAAAGCUAGCUUCGUUAAGUCAUUUGAAGCCGUUGGGUAAGCCUCCCGCUCCUCACUAUGUUUCAGCUCGCAACCAUAACACAGAUAAAAGUGCUAUAUCCGACUCCAACAAGAGACCUAUGCUCUACCCUAGUACUGUCAAAACACAAAGUGAUUCAUCUAAACACUCCGAUAAUAAAACCAUCAGUGUUGACGAGGUUAAGUCAAAAAAGAUUAAAGUAGUAAAUAACCAUGAUAAAGGGGGCGUUCCGGAGAGACGUGAAGUUGUAAAUCCAGAACGACGCGCUUCAGAUGGUGGCCGAACUGGGAAAAGUACGAAAAUGUCUACCAUUCCUGAGGAUCAGAACAGCGAAAACAAAUCUGGAGGACCUAAGUCAAGUAAAAGUGCUGAUCAGAUCCAUACCACAAAAUCUACGGCCAGUGAUAACAGUACGCUAUGCAAGGACGACAAAGUGCCAAGUCAGCAGGAAAUCAAGUCUAGUAAAAAAGAAACCACCUCACAGAAAAAGGAACUCAAAAAAGAAACCAGUUUGCACAAAAAAGAUUGUAGCUCACAGAAAAAAGAAUCUAGUCUUCUCAAAAAAGAUCCCAUCUCUAAACGCCAGCAGAAGCGAAGGUCUUCGUCAGCGUCUCGUGUGUCGGAGCGCACCACCUUGGAACUUAGGGAAGCUCUGUCAUCGUUGACCCCUGACCCCCAUGAGAACCCAGAGUCAGACAGCUCCCGGGUACCUAAACCCCCACCAGGACAACCUCCAAAAAACGCAGUCACAUAUGCAAGGCGUCGUCGUUACAAAAUGGCUUCCACAAACACAAGUCCUCGUGAGCCGUCAUCCCCACGCGCCCAGUAACCCCGCCCACCUGCCUGUCGCCCGCCUACUGUCCUCGUGUUGUCUUAUGUAGCCUCUAUAUCUCUGCCAUUUAUCUUGCCACUGGUUAAGCAGACCUUAAAUAGUACUACAGCGCCUUUUGUGUAAUCAAAAAGGGACAGUGUGUGCGGGGGAUGGGAGGGGGUCGGGGAGUAGGGGUAUCAUACAGGAUGUAUAUCUGUUUGGAUAUGUACGACUUAUAUCAGGGAUAGGAGUCCCCAGUAAGGUAGCAUGUUGAAUCCAUUUUCUAUUCAUUAGGUUUGAAAGUUCAUGAACUAAGGGAGUGAGGGAGGGGGAGUGGGUAAGGGACAGUAGGCGGGACUUGACGAACUUGAAGUGCGGACUCGGGGGUUGGAGACCAGGGACCCAUAUAAGAUCUUUAGAUCAAGAAGAUCUCAGCACAGAAGUCACAGAGCCCCAGGGAGCCACAUUGAGUUACCAUGGUGAUGACGAAGAUUCUGG
RNAcentral lists this unclassified non-coding RNA (3821 nucleotides) under Mizuhopecten yessoensis (Yesso scallop). RNAcentral's name for it is "uncharacterized LOC110447434, transcript variant X2". The record is from RNAcentral. Lineage: Eukaryota; Metazoa; Mollusca; Bivalvia; Pectinida; Pectinidae.